AGAACGAACGCUGGCGGCAGGCUUAACACAUGCAAGUCGAGCGCCUCGCAAGAGGAGCGGCAGACGGGUGAGUAACGCGUGGGAACAUACCCUUCGGUUCGGAAUAAUUCAGGGAAACUUGGACUAAUACCGGAUACGGACGAGAGUCGAAAGAUUUAUCGCCGAAGGAUUGGCCCGCGUUCGAUUAGCUAGUUGGUGUGGUAACGGCGCACCAAGGCGACGAUCGAUAGCUGGUCUGAGAGGAUGAUCAGCCACAUUGGGACUGAGACACGGCCCAAACUCCUACGGGAGGCAGCAGUGGGGAAUAUUGGACAAUGGGCGCAAGCCUGAUCCAGCCAUGCCGCGUGAGUGAUGACGGCCUUAGGGUUGUAAAGCUCUUUCGCUAGGGACGAUAAUGACGGUACCUAGACAAGAAGCCCCGGCUAACUUCGCGCCAGCAGCCGC
Molecule: ribosomal RNA, 444 nt
Filed under: uncultured bacterium
Lineage: Bacteria
Description: SSU rRNA
Rfam family: Bacterial small subunit ribosomal RNA
Source: RNAcentral